RNAcentral lists this ribosomal RNA (460 nucleotides) under uncultured bacterium. RNAcentral describes it as "partial 16S ribosomal RNA". It matches the Rfam family "Bacterial small subunit ribosomal RNA", at positions 338 to 795 of the family's 1533-position model. The record is from RNAcentral.
CCUACGUGCGGCAGCAGUGAGGAAUAUUGGUCAAUGGACGCAAGUCUGAACCAGCCAUGCCGCGUGCAGGAAGACGGCUCUAUGAGUUGUACACUGCUUUUGUACGAGGGUAAACGCAGAUACGCGUAUCUGUCUGAAAGUAUCUUACGAAUAAGGAUCGGCUGACUCCGUGCCAGCAGCCGCGGUAAUACGGAGGAUUCAAGCGUUAUCCGGCUUUAUUGGGUUUAAAGGGUUCGUAGGCGGUCGUAUAAGUUAGAGGUGAAAUCCCGAGGCUCAACUUCGGAAUUGCCGUUGAUACUGUUCGGCGAGAGAGUAGUUGCGGUAGGCGGAAUGUAUGGUGUAGCGGUGAAAUGCUUAGAGAUCAUACAGAACACCGAUUGCGAAGGCAGCUUACCAAGCUAAUUCUGACGUUGAGGCACGAAAGCGUGGGGAGCAAACAGGAUUAGAUACCCCUGUAGUC